AGUGGAGUGCCUGAAAUAAAGGGUUAUCGUGAUAUGAUAAAUUAUGUAAACAAUUUACCUCCAUUA
RNAcentral lists this transfer RNA (66 nucleotides) under Xyleus modestus. RNAcentral describes it as "tRNA-Ile". The record is from RNAcentral. Lineage: Eukaryota; Metazoa; Arthropoda; Insecta; Orthoptera; Romaleidae.